Molecule: ribosomal RNA, 483 nt
Filed under: uncultured bacterium
Lineage: Bacteria
Description: partial 16S ribosomal RNA
Rfam family: Bacterial small subunit ribosomal RNA
Source: RNAcentral
GACGAACGCUGGCGGCGUGCUUAACACAUGCAAGUCGAACGAUGAAGCCGGAGCUUGCUCCGGUGGAUUAGUGGCGAACGGGUGAGUAACACGUGAGCAAUCUGCCCUUGACUCUGGGAUAACUGCGGGAAACUGUAGCUAAUACCGGAUACGACACCUUGGGGCAUCCCAGGGUGUGGAAAGAAUUUCGGUCAAGGAUGAGCUCGCGGCCUAUCAGCUAGUUUGUGAGGUAAUGGCUCACCAAGGCAACGACGGGUAGCCGGCCUGAGAGGGGAACCGGCCACACUGGAACUGAGACACGGUACAGACUCCUACGGGAGGCGGCAGUGGGGAAUAUUGCACAAUGGGCGAAAGCCUGAUGCAGCAACGCCGCGUGAGGGAUGAAGGCCUUCGGGUUGUAAACCUCUUUUAGCAGGGAAGAAGCGAAAGUGACGGUACCUGCAGAAAAAGCACCGGCUAACUACGUGCCAGCCGCCGCCGUAA